This 1152-nucleotide long non-coding RNA is filed under the name Bos indicus x Bos taurus (hybrid cattle). RNAcentral's name for it is "lncRNA (ENSBIXG00000023257.1)". Lineage: Eukaryota; Metazoa; Chordata; Mammalia; Artiodactyla; Bovidae. The record is from RNAcentral.
CCCAAGCUACCCAGAUUCAUACUGUUCAUGGGUUCUCAAAGCAAGAAUUCUGAAGUGGUUUGCCAUUCCCAUCAUCCAGGAUGAGAUGGUUGGAUGACAUCACCGACUUGAUGGACAUGAGUUUGAGCAAGCUCCGGGAGUUGGUGAAGGACAGGGAAGCCUGAUGUGCUGCAGUCCAUGGGGUUGCAAAGAGUCGGGUACGACUGAGUGACUGAACUAACUGACUGACCCAGAUUCAAUUCCUGGGCAGGGAACUAAGAUCUCUCUUUAGGACCGUUCACCGCUGUCUCUCUGAGAUCAAAAUCAUCAGUUUAGAUGGGUACUCAGAUAUUUCAGGUAAAAAACAAAAAACAGUCAACUUUUGAGUAUGCCACCUAAUAUCUGCCCUCACUAGAUACACCGUGUUCGGGCCUCAUCCUUCUGUUAGGUUUUUUUUGUCGCUAUGGGCAACUGGAUCAUGUAGCCCAAAUAUUAAGUGAAUUUCUUAACACAAAUGAUGCACUUUGGAGGUAACCUUUGAGGACUAAACAGAGAAGGACUAAGCUGGGUUAAUUCUGGGCAGAGAGAAGCACGUGUUUUGUGAAGCCAUUCCUGCCUUCUGGAAGGUGACCCUUUUAUUCCCGCUCUACUUUGCACCAAGAUUCCAAGAACCAGGUCUAAAAGGAGAAUGUGGAUUCUGGCUUCCAUGUUCAGGUGACUUUGAGUUUGGGAGAAGACCCAGAAAGAGCCAUGGGAAGUGCAGAAAGUGGGAACUGCUCCUGCUUACCUGGCCAGCUAAGAUGUCCUACUACGGUUAAGACCGAAAUCGCUCAGCAGCCACACGUUUCAAAUUGAGAUGUUUCUACAGAGCUAUGCUGAAGCCCAAUGAGGCACCGGCUUGCAUCUAGAAGUCACUUCUGCAUAUCCUGGGAACACAGAAAUGGUUGGCUGCCAGAGGUGGCAGCACCAACACAGGACUGCUGUCCAGAUCCCGUAACCUGGGACUUGAGAAAUUCCAUCAUGGGCACUCAAGCUUGGUAAACAGCUCCAGCUUUGGAGGCAACAAGGGCAGGUUUGAGUCCCAUAUCUGCCCUUAGCUGUGUGACCUUGAGCAAACCAUUUAAGCUCUUUUGAGUCUGUUUCUUUACCCAUAAUAAUAGUCCCUACAAUAAG